GUGCCAGCCGCCGCGGUAAUACGAGAGGCCCAAACGUUAUUCGGAAUUACUGGGCUUAAAGAGUUCGUAGGCGGCGCAGAAAGUAGGGUGUGAAAGCCCUCGGCUCAACCGAGGAAUUGCGCUCUAAACUACUGUGCUUGAGGGACCUAGAUGUGAGCGGAACUGAUGGUGGAGCGGUGUAAUGCGUUGAUAUCAUCAGGAAUACCGGAGGCGAAGGCGGCUCACUGGGGGUUUUCUGACGCUGAGGAACGAAAGCCAGGGGAGCGAACGGGAUUAGAUACCCGUGUAGUCC
Molecule: ribosomal RNA, 292 nt
Filed under: uncultured bacterium
Lineage: Bacteria
Description: partial 16S ribosomal RNA
Rfam family: Bacterial small subunit ribosomal RNA
Source: RNAcentral